Molecule: long non-coding RNA, 4206 nt
Filed under: Capsicum annuum
Lineage: Eukaryota; Viridiplantae; Streptophyta; Magnoliopsida; Solanales; Solanaceae
Description: long non-coding RNA (CANN_LNC011467)
Source: RNAcentral
UUGGAAACAGCCUCUGGCAGAAAUGCAAGGUAAGGCUGCGUACGAUACACCUUUGUGGUAGGGCCCUUCCCCGAACACCGCGCAUAGCGGUAGCUUUAGUGCACCGGGCUGCCCUUCUUUUUUUUAUAUAACUUAAAAUAUAUAAAAAAAAAUUAAGACUAUAUGUAAAGAACCAGCUUAAUCUUAAAAGUUCGAUUCUUUUGAGUUGUGUUUUAUAGUUAUUAAGUAAAGUGAGAAUUUUGAUUUGAAAAUAUUUAGUCAGUGAAAUUUUGUUGCUUUUUGUUUUGAGAGUUGUCAGGGUUUUAGAAUUUUUAAUAACAACUACUUCGUCUUUUGUCCUUUUCUUUUUAUUUGGUUCGUCUUAUUUUAAAAAUAAGGAAAGAUUUUAAUUAUAGAAAAAAAAAAUAAGACCCUGCAUGAAAUGCAAAAGUGAUGAUUCAUCAAUCACUUCUAGUGGUAAAAUACAUAUGUGUUUACACUAAAAUAUAUGUUUAUGUUUACAUUAUUAUAUUAAAGUGUAAAGGAAAUUAGAAAAGUGAUUUUAACAUUUUGUACUUCAUUACAGAUCUCCGCAAUAGACAAAAUCAUUUAAUUUUAAAUAAACAAAUGGUACACACGUACUGUUAAACUAGUUUCUUUUAAAAACAUAUUGCAUGUUGUAUAAAAUUGUAAUACUUUAGAUUUACCUAAAACUUAAAAAGUUCUAAACCUUAAUAGUUAGUUGUAUGUGUAAGUUUGUUGAUAAUUCCCACGUUGGUCAUAUCAUGCAAAAAAUAUUAAUAUUCAAGUUAAAUUGAUAAACCAACUAAUGGUAGAAUUUUUUAAAGCCACAAAAUACUAUUAAUCAAGUUAUACUGUCUAAAAUAUAGGAGUUCGAAAUCCACUAAUAAUAAAAAUGUGCAAAGCUACCUUCUCAGUCCCUACUUGAACCACCUUUGCUUUCAAACCUAGAAACUAAAAGUUAGCUACCUUAGGUUAUCAACUUAUAUCUAACCGCACAAGCUUUUCUUUCUUAUACUAUUUUUUAUUUGCAUCAUAGCAUUUAGUGCAUGGCAUCAACAUGUUCCACGAAGUUUGGCAAGAGUCUAGGGGUUAAAUUAGGUUGGUCGAGGUUCUCGAUUAAUUCAAGUUCUAAAGAUUUUAUUUAUCACAUUGAGGUCCUUAUUUAUUCUAUUUUUUGUUGUUGCAUAUUUGCGUUGCAUAUUUAAUAUAUUCUUGCAACUUUUUCUCUUUUUCAAAAUUCUGAAGGAAAUACAAAUUAGAACAAUCCAAUUGGGAGGAGAAUAAUAUAAGAAAUGCAAUUCAAAUGGUAAAUAUAGUUAUAAACAUAAAAUAUUUUCCAAGGAUUCAAAUGUUUUAACUAAUUUCCUUAUUAGAUAAGAUUGCCCUGUCUAAUAAACAAGUGUAUCAUGUUUCCUUAAAGCUUUUGUUCUUUCCUUAUACUUCUGUCAAGCAUAAUAUAUAAUUAGGCCCUUUAAAUUGACCUCAAAUUAUAUCUAUGACCUCCAACUUUGGUGUGCACAAGUAGGCCCUUAAACUUGUAAAAAGUUAAACAAAUAGACAUAUACGUACUACAUGGCAUAAUACACCUAGGAUGUCAUGUAGGACAAAAAUUGACCACGUAGGAUGCCACAUAGGACAUAUGUGUCUACUUGUUCAACUUUAUACAAGUUUAAGGGCCUACUUGUGCACACCCAAAGUUGGAGAUCAUAGAUAUAAUUUGAGGUCAAGUUAAAGGGCCUAGUUAUGUAUUAUGCCUUUCUGUCAUGCAUUUUAUUAUGUUUAGGCUAGUUUAAAUUAAUGUUCAUUGCACAAUAUGCCCGUAAAUUAGGUGUGAUACAUUCGGUGGACAGGUACACAAGUGAAUUUUAGUAUAUAUCAACGUGAAUUGUUAUACUCUAUCCAUAUAAGUUUUCUUUUAUUUUGCAUAGUCAGCUGACAAAUUUAGAGGACUAAGGAAUAACAUUAUUCUCUGCCUUAAGCAGGAUACUUUAAAUGUAGAAAGUAAAAACAUGGAUAUGGUAUAAGCAAUUGUAAUGUCAACUCUGCGGGAACACCAACCCAACUUUACAAAAAAUUUUAGACCAAAAGGCUUUAACGUUUUGUAUACACUAAGGAGUCAUUUGGUGUGAGGUAUAAGGUAUAAUAGUCCCAGGAUGCAUUUUAUCCUGCGUUUUGUUGAAGGUAUUAGUUAGUUCCAGAAUUAUUUAUCCCACCAUUUAUAUCUUAGUGAUGGGAUAAGUUCUCCCAUAUAUGGUGGGAUAACUUGUUCCCAACCAAAUGACCCCUAUGAACUAUUUCUCCCUAGUGGUAUAUAUCAAGGACCAAAAGACACCAACCCUCAUCAUUAAGGAUAAUUUUGGCCAUUUUCUUGUUGGUUUUGUAACCUAAUUUUGGACAGUAGUUGAUUUUUUCUUAGCAACAAAAAUCAAAUGUGAAUCGUAGCUAUAAUUAUGUAUCUAGGCAAGCAAAAAUAGAUUACAUGUAUUAAGCACGCGAUUGGACCUUUCUUGGACAUUUAUUUAGCAUGUACAGGAUUUUACGAGUCGUGCAUUAGAUCGGAUAUUAGGUUUUUGGUUAAAAUGGGUGUUGCAUCUAAUAUUUUCUACAUUUCUACUUAAAUCCACCUCAAGAUUUAUAAGAUAACACCAAAGGUCAUUCAACACACAAGUUCAUCUCAAGAUUUUAUGCCAAAUUCAAAUUGUUCUUCCUUUAUAUGAAUAAUUGAAUGUGAAAUGUUGAUCGACUAGAUAUCUACGUAUAUAUUAACGUACAUAACACAUUUGUAGAAACUAGUAAGUUGAAAUAAGCAGAAACAUACAAAGGCUUACACUUUGUUUGGAUGGUGGUUUGCCAUGGUUUCAUAAUGUACGGCACUGUAUGGCUAAGUUGCUCGAACUCGGGUACGGAUUCGAGAGUCGGAUUCGUCAAAAUAUAAAUUUUAAGAUUCUCGGGUGCGAAUUCGAGUAUGGAUACGGGUGCAGGGAUUCAACUAAAAAAAUCAAAUAUCUAUAAUAUAUUAAAAAUGUGAAGACCCUUAGAAAAGUGAUUUAAAAUUUUUGUCCUUCAUUAAAAGACUUUCUUUUAAACAAAAUUGUCUUUUCACUAUUUUUUAAUUAAUUAUUUAAUUAUUUUUAUUAUAUUAACUAGACUCCUAAAAUAUAUGAGACUUCUAAAAUAUAUGAAAGGAGAUUCAAUUAAUAUUUUCUUUGUACUGAUCGAUUAGAAAAACUCGUAAAAUAGAAUAGAAAAAUACGUUUAUGUAGAUUCAAUUUGCCUAAUUGUUUUGAAGUAGUUCAUUUUGGUGUUCCUUUAAAUCUGCGAAUUACAUUUAAUCUUGUUUCAUUAGUGUGAUGUCGUUGGUUAUGAGUUUUUUUUAAUGAGUGGGAGUGAUCAUUUAAGAUUGUUUACCUUGCCUAACAUUUAAGGUUGGCAUUAAUGUUCUUUCCGUUUUAUGAUAUUGGAAAAAUAUGAUUGACGCUCAUCUAGCUUAAUUCGAUUACAUGUCUAGAUUAGUGAUGCUUAAUUUACUAACCCUCAACUUCUUCACUAUUUUUGUCAUUAUAAUAAAAUUCAACGUGUGUGUAUAUAUCUUCUUUGUUUUCAUUCAAGUCAUUCUUUAGUGUCAAAAUUUUCGCUCAAACAAGAAUUAUUUUCAUCAAAACUGAAGCCUUGUGGUCACUAUUGUAUUAUUUUGGUGUAAUUUACAGGUCGUAGAUUAAUUUACAAGUGGUAGAUGAAUGUCGGUCGGCGUUGAAAAAAUUUUUUGAGUAAAGGUUAGGUUUAAUUACAUUUUUUGUGUAUCUCUGCUUUGAGAAUUUUUUUAUGUAAAGGUAAAGUUUAGUUGUAUUAUUUUGAUAUCUCUAUUGUCGUAUAAUUUUGUUAUAGUUUACAGGUGGUAGAUAGUGUCGGACAACUUUGAAAAAAUGUGUAAAGGUUAGAUUUAAUUAUAUUGUUUUGAUGUCUCUAUCAUCGUAUUAUUUUGUUGCAGUUUAUAGCUGGUAGGUGAAUGUCGAUCGGCUUUGAAAAAAAAAUUUAGUAAAGAUUAGGUUUAAUUAAAUAAAUUCUCUCAAAGAUGUUGAAUUUAAUUAUUAUAUUCAACUUUAUUAUUUAAACAAAUAUCCUAUUUAUUGUAACAUUUGAACUCAAUAAAAUAAGGUACCCGAGCAAAGCGCGUACACCUAAACUAGUUAUAAAUGUAGAGUU